Molecule: non-coding RNA, 93 nt
Filed under: Schistosoma japonicum
Lineage: Eukaryota; Metazoa; Platyhelminthes; Trematoda; Strigeidida; Schistosomatidae
Source: RNAcentral
CCACGACCCCGUUGGGAAUCGGACCCAGGAUUCUCUGGCUCCGCGACGAGCGCCUCGCUAUUGGACCACUGAGCCGGCUCCUUACGGUUGAUA